UUUAAGCUCCAAUAAACAUAAAAAUUUAGACAUAAAGACUUUUAAAACUUAAUCCUAAACAUAAAAAUUUCAUUCAAAGUUUUUUCAUCACAUACCAACAAAUAUAUUAUUCAUUCUCACAAUAAAAAUGUUCAAUUAACACCUCGACCAACAUAAAAUGAAAAAGAAAAAAAAAAGUCUCCACAAAAGUGUUACUUGUUAAAAAAAAUAAAAAAUCCAAAGAAGGUAGCUCACUCUCCUCCCUCGUCUAAGUUCUUUAAUAAGACCAAUAGUAAUAGUAAAUCAAGUGAUCAAAACCUUCCACACCAAAAACCAUUUUUCAUAAAAUGUUUGCUGACCAACUAAAAGAACAAUGACUUUGAUGGAAGAAGAAAC
RNAcentral lists this long non-coding RNA (375 nucleotides) under Vigna radiata. RNAcentral describes it as "long non-coding RNA (VRAD_LNC005595)". Lineage: Eukaryota; Viridiplantae; Streptophyta; Magnoliopsida; Fabales; Fabaceae. The record is from RNAcentral.